UAAUACCGGAUACGACCCUCGGAGGCAUCUCCUGGGGGUGGAAAGAAUUUUGGUCAAGGAUGAGCUCGCGGCCUAUCAGCUAGUUGGUGAGGUAAUGGCUCACCAAGGCGACGACGGGUAGCCGGCCUGAGAGGAUGACCGGCCACACUGGGACUGAGACACGGCCCAGACUCCUACGGGAGGCAGCAGUGGGGAAUAUUGCACAAUGGGCGAAAGCCUGAUGCAGCAACGCCGCGUGAGGGAUGACGGCCUUCGGGUUGUAAACCUCUUUUAGUAGGGAAGAAGCGAAAGUGACGGUACCUGCAGAAAAAGCACCGGCUAACUACGUGCCAGCAGCCGCGGUAAUACGUAGGGUGCAAGCGUUGUCCGGAAUUAUUGGGCGUAAAGAGCUCGUAGGCGGUUUGUCGCGUCUGCUGUGAAAUCUGGGGGCUCAACCCCCAGCCUGCAGUGGGUACGGGCAGACUAGAGUGCGGUAGGGGAGAUUGGAAUUCCUGGUGUAGCGGUGGAAUGCGCAGAUAUCAGGAGGAACACCGAUGGCGAAGGCAGAUCUCUGGGCCGUAACUGACGCUGAGGAGCGAAAGCAUGGGGAGCGAACAGGAUUAGAUACCAUGAUAGUCCAUGCCGUAGACGUUGGGAACUAGAUGUGGGGACCAUUCCACGGUCUCCGUGUCGCAGCUAACGCAUUAAGUUCUCCGCCUGGCGAGUACGGCCGCAAGGCUAAUACUCAAAGGAAUUGACGGGGGCCCGCACAAGCGGCGGAGCAUGCGGAUUAAUUCGAUGCAACGCGAAGAACCUUACCAAGACUUGACAUAUACGAGAACGGGCCAGAAAUGGUCAACUCUUUGGACACUCGUAAACAGGUGGUGCAUGGUUGUCGUCAGCUCGUGUCGUGAGAUGUUGGGUUAAGUCCCGCAACGAGCGCAACCCUCGUCCUAUGUUGCCAGCACGUAAUGGUGGGAACUCAUGGGAUACUGCCGGGGUCAACUCGGAGGAAGGUGGGGAUGACGUCAAAUCAUCAUGCCCCUUAUGUCUGGGCUUCACGCAUGCUACAAUGGCCGGUACAAAGGGCUGCGAUACCGUAAGGGGGAACGAAUCCCAAAAGCCGGUCUCAUUUC
Molecule: ribosomal RNA, 1115 nt
Filed under: Microbacteriaceae bacterium
Lineage: Bacteria; Bacillati; Actinomycetota; Actinomycetes; Micrococcales; Microbacteriaceae
Description: bacterial SSU rRNA
Rfam family: Bacterial small subunit ribosomal RNA
Source: RNAcentral